UACGUAGGGGGCAAGCGUUGUCCGGAAUCAUUGGGCGUAAAGCGCGCGUAGGCGGCCCGGUAAGUCCGCUGUAAAAGUCCAGGGCUCAACCCUGGAAAGCCGGUGGAUACUGUCGGGCUAGAGUCCGGAAGAGGCGAGUGGAAUUCCUGGUGUAGCGGUGAAAUGCGUAGAUAUCGGGAAGAACACCAGUGGCGAAGGCGCUCUACUGGGCCACAACUGACGCUGAGGGACGAAAGCUAGGGGAGCGAAAGGG
Molecule: ribosomal RNA, 253 nt
Filed under: uncultured bacterium
Lineage: Bacteria
Description: partial 16S ribosomal RNA
Rfam family: Bacterial small subunit ribosomal RNA
Source: RNAcentral